RNAcentral lists this ribosomal RNA (253 nucleotides) under uncultured bacterium. Its description in RNAcentral is "partial 16S ribosomal RNA". It matches the Rfam family "Bacterial small subunit ribosomal RNA", at positions 524 to 776 of the family's 1533-position model. The record is from RNAcentral.
UACAGAGGUCCCGAGCGUUGUUCGGAUUCACUGGGCGUAAAGGGUGCGCAGGUGGGUUUGCAAGUUCGAUGUGAAAGCCCCGGGCUUAACCCGGGAAUGGCAUUGGAUACUGCAGAUCUGGAGGAUCGGAGGGGGGACUGGAAUUCUUGGUGUAGCAGUGAAAUGCGUAGAUAUCAAGAGGAACACCUGCGGCGAAGGCGGGUUGCUGGGCCGACACUGACGCUGAGGCGCGAAAGCCAGGGGAGCGAACGGG